RNAcentral lists this non-coding RNA (117 nucleotides) under Bacillus sp. V59.32b. RNAcentral's name for it is "SAM riboswitch aptamer (S box leader)". It matches the Rfam family "SAM riboswitch aptamer (S box leader)". Rfam says of the family: The SAM riboswitch is found upstream of a number of genes which code for proteins involved in methionine or cysteine biosynthesis in Gram-positive bacteria. The SAM riboswitch acts at the level of transcription termination control. The record is from Rfam by way of RNAcentral. RNAcentral also lists the same sequence under 1 other name. Lineage: Bacteria; Bacillati; Bacillota; Bacilli; Caryophanales; Bacillaceae.
UUCUUAUCCAGAGAGGUCGAGGGAAUGGCCCUAAGACGCCUCAGCAACCUUCCAUGUAUUUUCGUCAUUGGAAAGGUGCUAAAUCCAUCAAGUUAUUUGGAACUUGAGAGAUAAGGA